UCCCUGAGCAGCCCAUUCCAUAUGUCUGAUCACCCUUUCUGUGAAGAAAUUUCUCCUGAUGUCCAGCGUAAACCUCCCCUGGCAGAGAGCAGGGUUAAUGCUGUGUGUCUCAAGGUACCCCUGACUACCCUGAUGCUUUCUAGAGAAUAAUUUAUCUAAUUCAAGCUCCUUAUCUUUAUCUCCAAGGAACCCCAAGGCCUAGCCUGGAAGUCUCAAGAGCUCUAGGAGAAGAGCAGUAGCUGGCAGCCUCUCUGGGGUCUGCCUGAACUAAUAGAAGGAGCCUCCUGAAGCCAGAACCUUUGCCCCCUCUGUCUGGGUGCAAAUCUCCCUUUUCCGUUCUCAUAUUUUCUACUAUAUGCCUACUCUGAGGCAUGUAUAUAUUCCUCCUUAGCUGUCUCCUCCUCCCCAGGUCCUACCAAAUUAUAAAACAUUACCACAUAUACCAUGCCUCCCCUGGGAGAGAGGGUGAGAGAAAGAGCAAACCGUGUGUGACAGAGGAGAGCCACAUCACUUCACACACUUCUCAGCGACACCAGAUAUGACAGUGAUAGAACUGAACAAGAAGAAAACCAGAAUCUCUGGACUGGCUCACUCUGUGCCAAUCUCCUCUUGUUCAUUUCCUUUCUGAGAUAAACAACACCAAUCAUUUUGAUCUCUCUUUGUGAGCAAAUUUGCCAUGCCCCUAAUCAGCUCUUUCUGAGAAAGGCUUACUUGAACUGCAGACAGUAUUCCCAGAGAGGCCACGCUAGUGAUUUACAUAAUAGCAUUAUCAUAUUUUCCAUAUUAUUCUCCCCUUCUUCAUUCUGCAUGCUAAUAUUUUGUGUGUGCUUUUUUUUAACCUGCAGCUACUCACAGAAUCAGGGGUUGUGUGACAUCCAGAUUCUUUUUUGAGUUGCUAGAGAACAUCUGGAGCUUUGUAAUUCUUACACACAAUUUGUUUUUUCUGACUUUGCACGUGCCCAGUUAAACCUUGGCAAACGUGUGGUGUUGCCCAUUUGCCACAUUUGCAUUUUACUCAGUCCUUUCUGAUCUCCUCAAGAGUAAAUAGCUUUGAGUCAUUCUUCAAAAAUGUUUGGUAUAUUGCUCAUCUUUGUUUCCAGAUCAUCAGUUCAUAUACUGGGCAUUCCAGGACCUCAGAGGCAGCGUUCAUAUUCCCUACCCUUAACCUGCUGCCAGAAUGAAAAUCAAUCUUUGAACUUUCCUCCCAGCUUCUUGCCUCCUCCUUGGGUUGUUAAUCCACAGAAAUACUUCACUCAACACAACAGGGUUCUGUCACCUCUGGGCAGGUGUGCUGAUGAGUCCAGUCUCCAAAACUCUCAAGUAUGGAUCAAAACUGGAGCAGCUCCAUGUGGCAACCCCCUGAUGUACUACAAAUGGGAUCUGCUGGAUCAGGCUGCUCAAUGAUGGACUUCCCUUGCUGCCCUGCAGCCAAGGACUGUGGGCCUCCGCUGUCUGCCAGCUCCCGGGCCCCUUGCCAGCAGCUGCAUGCGCGUGUUGUGAACUACUCCACCCACACAAAACUGCCCCAGCCCCUCCAUGGAGGUCACUCUCUGUGCCCACUGCCCGAUGUGGACUCCCCACGCCUACACUGAACGAGUGUUCAACCUGCCCCUCCUGCCUUGUAAGGAGGAGGCCCUAUUUCUUCACUUUUCUCGAGAAAUCGCAAGGAUUAAUGACAUUUGGGCUCCUGCUCUCCAGCUGCAAGAAGCCAGGAGGGGCAGAGGGCCAAGGGUGGCCACAUGGCUUCAUUUCCUGAACCCCCAGCAGCUUUGAUGCUGAGUGCAUGUGGAAAGGAAGAUGGAUGGUGAGGGAGGAGAGACUGCUGGUACGCAGCCACCUUUCAAGGAGCAUUCCUGAUUUACAGCCGAGACCCAGAUUUUAGUACAGACAGUAACUAUCCACCCUGGGGAGCCAUGCUCAUGGUAUGUUUUAGAGAGGGCAAAGAAGGGAGAAGUCCUAGCCUUCCUGCAGCUGAAGUGGGUCUUUUCAGCUCCCCAGAUUCCAGCCCUGCAGCCCAAGGUGCUCGAACACUGCCAGCAGCAAGUGGUCUGUGUGAUGCAGAGCUGCUGCCCCUGCAAGGGGCUGCACAAAGUCACUGAGGAGGCUCAGUUUUAUUACCCAACAAAUUGAAAUUGCUGCUGUGGUAUUAUUACUACUGGUCUGUGCCCACCUUCAUUCUUACCACAGCUCAUGUUUCUUCAACCAAAUUUCCCCAUGGCUGGGUUUGUUGGGGAUUUUUCUCGUUACCCCCAACUAAUAAAAUUCCAACCCCAUUUUUCACUUUGCACCAGCUGCAUGCUGCAGGAGAUUUACAGAGCCAUUCAGAGACCCUGCUUUUGAGAGUGCUGUUAUCCUCACAAUUCUGUGUCACUCCGACAGCCUCGUGGGCCUUCUACAGUGUGUCUGCAGAGAUCAGAGAGCUUGCAGCUGGUGGUACCACCUCGGGCUUUCUUGUGCUCCUUCACAUGCUGCAAUGAGGUUCUCCCAGUAUGAACAUGGGACUUUGGUUUGUGUAAGGUGUUAUCUGGACUCCCAGUAUCACAUGGGGUUUGGUCCCGUUUCACAGAUUAUUCUGAGCUGGAAGGGAUCUGCAUCCAACUCUUAAGGGAAUGGCCUGUACAGGGAUUGAACACAUGACCUUGGUGUUAUUGGCACCUCACUCUAACCAACUGAGCUAAUCUCAGGUAGCAAAGAAGGGGGCACCUGGAUUUGAGCCAGGGACCUCUUGAUCUGCAGUCAAAUGCUCUACCACUGAGCUAUACCCCCCCUUUGUACAGACCUACAACCUGAGAAGGGCACAGCUACUAUAUCCUGCUGAUCCUCUUCUUUUUCCAGGUAAAGGCACCUAUUGCACAUCUUAUCUCGUUAAGUCACGGGUCCUUAGACAGAUUUAUUUCUGCCCCAUUUUGGAAAAUCUACCUGGUUUUGGUUUUGCAGUAGUCUGAUAUUUCAUUUCUGGGUAACAGUUUGAGUCAAAUGCUUUAAAAACACUGUGAAGCAAACAGAAAUGUGUAGAUGUUUUCUACCUUCUUUUAUUUUUGUGUGUGUGCCUGGUUCUUAGUAAGUGUCUGAGGGGGAAAAAAAAAAAAAGAUAUGACUGAUGAUUUGUUGCUCUUUCUUUGGAAAAGGUCCAGACUAUAGAACAGGGCUAAAAUGCCAGGAAAGAGUUUGCUGCAUAGAGGCAGGCUUAUAUUAUUUGAUUUCUUACAUUCCCUGGGUAACAUAUUUUCUUUAAUUUGAGAUCCUGGAGAAGUCAUUUUAGAUCUUUAUUCAACACAGCUUAUUUGCUCUUCUUCUCAGUUUUCCUUAUUUUUAGAAAGGUGAAGCAUGUUCCCAAAUUAAAUCGUUUCUGGGAUGGACCUCAGCCAAGAGGAUCCAUGGUUCAAGCCGUAAGGCACAGGAAAAAUAAGAGUAAAACAAUGGAGUUUUAUAUUGUGUUUCGUUUGGCAGGGUGAGGAGAGAUAUGGCCUUGAAAGAUUUGCAGUCUUACAUAGCUAUAGUAUAUUUCAAAAGACAGUAAGAACUACUUUCACUUCUCACUUUGCUUAAAAAAAAUAAGCACACCCAGAAAUGCUAGAAAUGUGGGAUUGCCAGAUUCUCCUUAGUUCCGAGAAAAGGUUUGUGUUUGGGGAUCUCGGAGAUGCUUACAGUAACAUCCCAAAUAUUAGCUGAAGUGGGCUGAUCCUCUACCCUUUUGCUGAUGUGCUUGUCCCUGCUGCAGCUACCAAGGCAGAGCUUGCAGCAGCCUGGCCCCAAGCCAGGCUCCUCUCCCUAGCGUCCAUGGAUUAUAUUCCUUAUGUCAGCCUCUCAUUUCAGUGACCCAGAGAUCCUUCUCCAGAUGGGACAGUUUUGCACAGCUCCUCUGAGGUUGUUUUGCAGUGACAGAGCAAAGCUCUGCAAAGCUUUCUCCCAGGUGAAAGUUUGACACACGGUGCCCGUGAGCCACAAGAAAAUGUGCCACUGCCAGGGAGCAAGAACGUGCCUCCCUUCUGCCAUGGCUGUGGCCAAAUCCCCUCUGUCACAGUGCUCUGGAAAGCAGGGCAGCCAGUGCCUGCAGCUGCGGGCAUGUGAGCAUGAAGCCAUUUGCUGGUGACGCUCUCUGGGGCUGGGAUGACUCUCCCUGGCUGCUCCACGGGCUGCCUGCCAGCCAGCUGAGACCUCACUGCUCCCCCAGCUGAGCCACUAAAGCAGCAAGAUUUAAAAACAUAAUAUAAAACUGGACUAAUAAUUAAAAAUUAACUGUCCCUGCUAAACAGCAUAUUAAAAUGUAUCCUUACACAGGGAACAAAUGUCUCCGAGCAACAAAAGCAAACAACCAGCAAGCCAGGGUCUGGUAUCUCCUUUCCAGCUUUCUGAAAGGGUAAGUUUAUAUUGAAGUCACUUUUUUUCCAAGCACCCUGGUGUUUGGAAACAGCUCGUCAAUUCCCAUACCAGCUAACCUGCUGCAGGCAUCGACUGAGAGUCAGCUGGAGCCAGACUCUCCAGGAGCCAGGGAUGGAGAGUCCGCCGCAGCCUCGGUUCCCAUCAAGCAGUGUCGCAUGGUGCCCAUGAUGAGCACCACAAAUCUCUGAACAAUGGUGAGAGCUUCAGGGGAACAACUUAUUUCCAAGGCAGGUCACGCCAGAGCUCCUCCAUGAUCCAUCGCCCCAUCUGACAUCUGUUGGUGCACUGCAAUUCUGCAAAACACAGGAUUUACGUAGCGUUGGAUGGUUUGCACGCUCCUGGUUCAAUUUGGUGCUUAAGGCUCCAUAUCCAUAUCUAGGAUGCAUCUAGAUCCCUUUUGGUAUGUUGAAGGACCCUCUGAGAGAUGGUAUAUAGGGCUGGUGGUGGAGCCACAUGCUCCCUGCACUCUGCAGACCAUCAGCACUGCUCCUGCAAAUUAGGGUCUCCACAGCAGACUGUUUGCCCAAGAGUCAACCCUUCUCUCAAAGACUCCUGCAGCAAAAGCUUGUGCUUUCUGGGGAAAAAAGUCCUGGGUUCAGUCAAUGCCUUCUUUUAAAACCUUGCAAGAAAUGAAAGAAAUGCCAUUUAGGUUACUUCUUAAAAUAAUAUAAAUGUCAGUGAAGAUUUUGUGUUGGA
Molecule: long non-coding RNA, 5079 nt
Organism: Lepidothrix coronata (blue-crowned manakin)
Lineage: Eukaryota; Metazoa; Chordata; Aves; Passeriformes; Pipridae
Exons: 3
Source: RefSeq, a predicted model, not a curated record